Molecule: long non-coding RNA, 461 nt
Organism: Triticum dicoccoides
Lineage: Eukaryota; Viridiplantae; Streptophyta; Magnoliopsida; Poales; Poaceae
Exons: 4
Source: RefSeq, a predicted model, not a curated record
ACCUGUACAUUCUUCUAGCCUCUUAGUAGAAUCCAAGCAAGUAUAUUUCCAUGUUGCCAGUGCAAGCACCAAGGUCUCAGUUUGCAUCUUCCAUCAAUACAUAAAACUGGGCUCUCUAUCUUCGAGUUGUACAUUCUUUUAGCCAUCCAUGCACAUCUGGCGCACAAGGCUUGUGUGAUAUCUUUCUGUACAUAAAUCAGUUCGACGGCUUGUAUGCUCUUCUAGCCUCUUAGAAUCCAAGCAAGUUUCCAAGUUGCCAAUGGAAGCAUCCAGCUAUCGGUUUGCAUCUUCCAUCCUGUACAUAGAUCUGCUUUGCCUUGGAGUUGUAAUUCUCUUCAUUCACACAGUGGUCGUAUCAUUGAUUGAGUGGCGUCCUCCAUCCUGUAUACAUGACUGGCCGGCACACGACAUGUAGUAACUCAACUUGUGGCAAGACAGGCGUAACUCAACUUGUGGGUAAA